CAGCAGCCGCGGGAAUACAGAGGGUGCGAGCGUUAAUCGGAAUUACUGGGCGUAAAGCGCGCGUAGACGGUUUUGUAAGUCAGGUGUGAAAUCCCCGGGCUCAACCUGGGAACUGCAUUUGAUACUGCAUGGCUAGAGUAUCGAAGAGGGAAGUGGAAUUUCCGGUGUAGCGGUGAAAUGCGUAGAUAUCGGAAGGAACACCAGUGGCGAAAGCGACUUCCUGGUCGAAUACUGACGUUCAUGUGCGAAAGCGUGGGGAGCAAACAGGAUUAGAUACCCCCGUAGUCCCUGUCUCUUAAAA
Molecule: ribosomal RNA, 301 nt
Filed under: uncultured bacterium
Lineage: Bacteria
Description: partial 16S ribosomal RNA
Rfam family: Bacterial small subunit ribosomal RNA
Source: RNAcentral